UUAAGCGACUAAGCGUACACGGUGGAUGCCCUGGCAGUCAGAGGCGAUGAAGGACGUGCUAAUCUGCGAAAAGCGCCGGCGAGGUGAUAUGAACCCUUGACCCGGCGAUGUCCGAAUGGGGAAACCCAGUGCAAUCCGUUGCACUAUCGUUAACUGAAUACAUAGGUUAACGAGGCGAACCGGGGGAACUGAAACAUCUAAGUACCCCGAGGAAAAGAAAUCAACCGAGAUUCCCCCAGUAGCGGCGAGCGAACGGGGAGCAGCCCGGAGUCUGAAUCAGCUUGUGUGUUAGUGGAACGGUCUGGAAAGUCCGACGGUACAGGGUGAUAGUCCCGUACACGAAAGCACACAUGCUGUGAACUCGAAGAGUAGGGCGGGACACGUGGUAUCCUGUCUGAAUAUGGGGGGACCAUCCUCCAAGGCUAAAUACUCCUGACUGACCGAUAGUGAACCAGUACCGUGAGGGAAAGGCGAAAAGAACCCCGGCGAGGGGAGUGAAAAAGAACCUGAAACCGUGUACGUACAAGCAGUGGGAGCCUCUUUAUGGGGUGACUGCGUACCUUUUGUAUAAUGGGUCAGCGACUUAUAUUCUGUAGCAAGGUUAACCGUAUAGGGGAGCCGAAGGGAAACCGAGUCUUAACUGGGCGUUAAGUUGCAGGGUAUAGACCCGAAACCCGGUGAUCUAGCCAUGGGCAGGUUGAAGGUUGGGUAACACUAACUGGAGGACCGAACCGACUAAUGUUGAAAAAUUAGCGGAUGACCUGUGGCUGGGGGUGAAAGGCCAAUCAAACCGGGAGAUAGCUGGUUCUCCCCGAAAGCUAUUUAGGUAGCGCCUCGUGAACUCAUCUUCGGGGGUAGAGCACUGUUUCGGCUAGGGGGCCAUCCCGGCUUACCAACCCGAUGCAAACUACGAAUACCGAAGAAUGUUAUCACGGGAGACACACGGCGGGUGCUAACGUCCGUCGUGAAGAGGGAAACAACCCAGACCGCCAGCUAAGGUCCCAAAGUCAUGGUUAAGUGGGAAACGAUGUGGGAAGGCACAGACAGCCAGGAUGUUGGCUUAGAAGCAGCCAUCAUUUAAAGAAAGCGUAAUAGCUCACUGGUCGAGUCGGCCUGCGCGGAAGAUGUAACGGGGCUAAACCAUGCACCGAAGCUGCGGCAGCGACACUAUGUGUUGUUGGGUAGGGGAGCGUUCUGUAAGCCGUUGAAGGUGUGCUGUGAGGCAUGCUGGAGGUAUCAGAAGUGCGAAUGCUGACAUAAGUAACGAUAAAGCGGGUGAAAAGCCCGCUCGCCGGAAGACCAAGGGUUCCUGUCCAACGUUAAUCGGGGCAGGGUGAGUCGACCCCUAAGGCGAGGCCGAAAGGCGUAGUCGAUGGGAAACAGGUUAAUAUUCCUGUACUUGGUGUUACUGCGAAGGGGGGACGGAGAAGGCUAUGUCAGCCGGGCGACGGUUGUCCCGGUUUAAGCAUGUAGGCGGAGGUUCCAGGUAAAUCCGGUACCUUGUUAACGCUGAGGUGUGAUGACGAGGCACUACGGUGCUGAAGUGAUAAAUGCCCUGCUUCCAGGAAAAGCCUCUAAGCAUCAGGUAACACGAAAUCGUACCCCAAACCGACACAGGUGGUCAGGUAGAGAAUACCAAGGCGCUUGAGAGAACUCGGGUGAAGGAACUAGGCAAAAUGGUGCCGUAACUUCGGGAGAAGGCACGCUGAUGUGUAGGUGAAGCCCCUGCGGGUGGAGCUGAAAUCAGUCGAAGAUACCAGCUGGCUGCAACUGUUUAUUAAAAACACAGCACUGUGCAAACACGAAAGUGGACGUAUACGGUGUGACGCCUGCCCGGUGCCGGAAGGUUAAUUGAUGGGGUUAGCGGCAACGCGAAGCUCUUGAUCGAAGCCCCGGUAAACGGCGGCCGUAACUAUAACGGUCCUAAGGUAGCGAAAUUCCUUGUCGGGUAAGUUCCGACCUGCACGAAUGGCGUAAUGAUGGCCAGGCUGUCUCCACCCGAGACUCAGUGAAAUUGAACUCGCUGUGAAGAUGCAGUGUACCCGCGGCAAGACGGAAAGACCCCGUGAACCUUUACUAUAGCUUGACACUGAACACUGGUCCUUGAUGUGUAGGAUAGGUGGGAGGCUUUGAAGCGUGGACGCCAGUCUGCGUGGAGCCAACCUUGAAAUACCACCCUUUAAUGGCUGGUGUUCUAACGUAGACCCGUAAUCCGGGUUGCGGACAGUGUCUGGUGGGUAGUUUGACUGGGGCGGUCUCCUCCCAAAGAGUAACGGAGGAGCACGAAGGUUGGCUAAUCCUGGUCGGACAUCAGGAGGUUAGUGCAAUGGCAUAAGCCAGCUUGACUGCGAGCGUGACGGCGCGAGCAGGUGCGAAAGCAGGUCAUAGUGAUCCGGUGGUUCUGAAUGGAAGGGCCAUCGCUCAACGGAUAAAAGGUACUCCGGGGAUAACAGGCUGAUACCGCCCAAGAGUUCAUAUCGACGGCGGUGUUUGGCACCUCGAUGUCGGCUCAUCACAUCCUGGGGCUGAAGUAGGUCCCAAGGGUAUGGCUGUUCGCCAUUUAAAGUGGUACGCGAGCUGGGUUUAGAACGUCGUGAGACAGUUCGGUCCCUAUCUGCCGUGGGCGCUGGAGAAUUGAGGGGGGCUGCUCCUAGUACGAGAGGACCGGAGUGGACGCAUCACUGGUGUUCGGGUUGUCAUGCCAAUGGCACUGCCCGGUAGCUAAAUGCGGAAGAGAUAAGUGCUGAAAGCAUCUAAGCACGAAACUUGCCCCGAGAUGAGUUCUCCCUGAGACUUUAAGUCUCCUGAAGGAACGUUGAAGACGACGACGUUGAUAGGUCGGGUGUGUAAGCGCAGCGAUGCGUUGAGCUAACCGAUACUAAUGAACCGUGAGGCUUAACCUU
RNAcentral lists this ribosomal RNA (2903 nucleotides) under Enterobacter hormaechei. Its description in RNAcentral is "23S ribosomal RNA". It matches the Rfam family "Bacterial large subunit ribosomal RNA". Lineage: Bacteria; Pseudomonadati; Pseudomonadota; Gammaproteobacteria; Enterobacterales; Enterobacteriaceae. The record is from RNAcentral.